ACCCGCUGAAUUUAAGCAUAUCAAUAAGCGGAGGAAAAGAAACCAACAGGGAUUGCCCUAGUAACGGCGAGUGAAGCGGCAACAGCUCAAAUUUGAAAUCUGGCUCUUUUAGAGUCCGAGUUGUAAUUUGCAGAGGGCGCUUUGGCUUUGGCAGCGGUCCAAGUUCCUUGGAACAGGACGUCACAGAGGGUGAGAAUCCCGUACGUGGUCGCUGGCUAUUGCCGUGUAAAGCCCCUUCGACGAGUCGAGUUGUUUGGGAAUGCAGCUCUAAAUGGGAGGUACAUUUCUUCUAAAGCUAAAUAUUGGCCAGAGACCGAUAGCGCACAAGUAGAGUGAUCGAAAGAUGAAAAGCACUUUGGAAAGAGAGUCAAACAGCACGUGAAAUUGUUGAAAGGGAAGCGCUUGCAGCCAGACUUGCUUACAGUUGCUCAUCCGGGUUUCUACCCGGUGCACUCUUCUGUAGGCAGGCCAGCAUCAGUUUGGGCGGUAGGAUAAAGGUCUCUGUCACGUACCUCCUUUCGGGGAGGCCUUAUAGGGGAGACGACAUACUACCAGCCUGGACUGAGGUCCGCGCAUCUGCUAGGAUGCUGGCGUAAUGGCUGUAAGCGGCCCGUCUUGAAACACGGACCAGGAG
Molecule: ribosomal RNA, 634 nt
Filed under: uncultured fungus
Lineage: Eukaryota; Fungi
Description: eukaryotic LSU rRNA
Rfam family: Eukaryotic large subunit ribosomal RNA
Source: RNAcentral